This 448-nucleotide ribosomal RNA is filed under the name uncultured bacterium. Its description in RNAcentral is "bacterial SSU rRNA". It matches the Rfam family "Bacterial small subunit ribosomal RNA", at positions 355 to 825 of the family's 1533-position model. The record is from RNAcentral.
UGAGGAAUAUUGCACAAUGGGCGAAAGCCUGAUGCAGCGACGCCGCGUGGGUGAAGAAGGUUUUCGGAUCGUAAAACCCUUUUCUGUGUGACGAGAACGGACGGUAGCACAGGAAUAAGUCUCGGCUAACUACGUGCCAGCAGCCGCGGUAAAACGUAGGAGACAAACGUUAUCCGGAGUUACUGGGCGUAAAGGGCGUGCAGGCGGCAGUCUAAGUCUGGCGUGAAAUAUCCCGGCUCAACCGGGGAAGGUCGUCGGAUACUGGGCAGCUAGAGGACGGUAGAGGCGUGUGGAAUUCCGGGUGUAGUGGUGAAAUGCGUAGAGAUCCGGAGGAACACCAGUGGCGAAGGCGACACGCUGGGCCGUACCUGACGCUAAGACGCGACAGCAUGGGGAGCAAACAGGAUUAGAUACCCCCGUAGUCCCUGAGCGGGCUGGCAAGGCGCAU